RNAcentral lists this ribosomal RNA (468 nucleotides) under uncultured bacterium. RNAcentral's name for it is "partial 16S ribosomal RNA". It matches the Rfam family "Bacterial small subunit ribosomal RNA", at positions 28 to 507 of the family's 1533-position model. The record is from RNAcentral.
GACGAACGCUGGCGGCGUGCUUAACACAUGCAAGUCGAACGGAAAGGCCCUGCUUUUGUUGGGUUCUCGGGUGGCGCGCGGGGGGGAAACACGUGUGUAACCUGCCCUUGACUUUCGGAUAUCUGCUGGAAACCGGGGCUAAUAGCGCAUAUUAGCUCUUGCACCGCGGUGGGGGGUGGGAAGUUUCGGCGGUUGGGGUUGGGUUCGCGGCUUAUCAGCUUGUUUGUGGGGUAGGGGCUGACGAAGGCUGCGACGGGUAGCCGGCCUGAGAGGCUGGCCGGCGACAUUGGGCCUGCGGUACGGCGCAGCCGCCUACGGGAGGCAUCCGUGGGGAGUGUUGCACAGUGGGCGCAAGCCUGAUGGAGCGACGCCGGGUUCGGGAUGACGGCCUUCGGGUGAUCAACCGCUUUCGCCUGUGACGAAGCGUGAGUGACGGUAAUGGGUAAAGAAGCACCGGCUAACUACGUG